Molecule: long non-coding RNA, 1273 nt
Organism: Betta splendens (Siamese fighting fish)
Lineage: Eukaryota; Metazoa; Chordata; Actinopteri; Anabantiformes; Osphronemidae
Exons: 5
Source: RefSeq, a predicted model, not a curated record
UUCAAACGGGGCAAUCACAGCGCACCUCCUGAAGCUCCGCCCCUGCAGAGAGCUACCUGUCAGUCACAUGUCAGCAUUAGUGAUGCUACUGUGAACGUGCGAGCGGAGGCUGCUGCUGUGAUGCUCUGCCUCUGUGGUUUUGUUGCUUUGUAUCGUGAGGACAGUACAGACGCACAACCACUUAGGUGACAGGAGCACCAACACUUUGAAGUUGUGUUUCGAACCUUACAGGAGAGAAAAGGAGGAGAAGGUGAUGGCGCUGGUGACGGUCUGUCUGCUGCUGUGGGCUGUUGGAGUUGCACUCGUUUCAGCAACAGCUGACGUGGACGUAGAAGACGAUGACUUUCCGGACGGCAGCGGGGAAUCCCCAGCGUCUGAUGGAGGCAGCUCAGCGUUGGACUCAGAUGGACUCGUUUUUCUGUGUUCUCUGCUCACAUGGAUAUUUGCAUGAAGAAUGAUCGACUCGUCGGGCUGUUUGGAUUUGGACCCACCUGAGACCGACCCGGCUCUCAACAGACUCUGUUUAUCUUUAAUAGACCGACAUGUGCAGUAAAAGCACCAGAAUAAAGAAUGUAUGAAGGUCGUGCUCUGUUCAGCUGUAACUAAUGUUUUAUUUAUUUAGUUUCCUGUUUGUCAUAGUCAAAAUCAACCUCUUCACUGUCUGUCACAUGUCAGCGUGUUGUCAUUAAAUAGUUCUUCAAUCAACCAGUGUCCACUAUAAUAGUAGCCUGCUUUUAAUAAUACAACACCAGAAGCAGCGUGCUGCUGAUGUGACAGUUUGCUCUGGAUGUGGUUAAACAGUUCCUGUUCUGUGACGUGAGCUCAGACGCUGUGACAGACGACAGAACGGUGGUUGGAGGAGAUCACAGAGAGGCAGGAGCUGGAGGCCAUGACCAGGGUUCAUGUGCUCAUCGGUGCUGCUGUGGUGAUGGAUACCACAACCACAACCCCACAGAUCCCUCAGAUCACGGCUCGUGCUCCUCCUCAGCUGCCACGGACAACAGCAUUAUCAGCUACAGGCUGCUCUACGUCACUACGGCCAUCUGCGCGUGGCAUAUUAAUUACAACAAACGUAGUGGUGUCACCAAGAAGACAAAAUCUGAAACGUCACCGUAUCCACAAAUUAAAGCUCUGAUUAAACUUUAAAGUUGAACGAGUAAAAGGUUUGAUUGAACCUUCAAUAAAAUCUGCACACUCACAUACUCGUACAAACUCAUGACAUCUCUGUAGUUACCAGUAAAAAUAAACUGUGAAGAAGCAAACAUGUGUGUGA